Molecule: unclassified non-coding RNA, 246 nt
Filed under: Hevea brasiliensis (rubber tree)
Lineage: Eukaryota; Viridiplantae; Streptophyta; Magnoliopsida; Malpighiales; Euphorbiaceae
Source: RNAcentral
AGAACACUGAAUUGCACUGCCAAGGUCACAUACAUACUGUACUGGUCAUAAUCAAGUAUCUCAAUUCAAUCACAUAUUAUCCCAAAUUAGUCCAGUAAAAAAGUGCUAAACAUUAUUGCCUUUUCUGUCCAUCUAGUGCCAUGCUUUUUGUUAAUUUAUGUGUCUUUUCUCCCAGCAUAACUUGUUUUUGGGUUUUCCUCAUUUCUGUUGGACCUUCAUGUCUAAUCUCAUCAUUUUAUGUGGGUG